RNAcentral lists this ribosomal RNA (468 nucleotides) under uncultured bacterium. RNAcentral describes it as "partial 16S ribosomal RNA". It matches the Rfam family "Bacterial small subunit ribosomal RNA", at positions 28 to 507 of the family's 1533-position model. The record is from RNAcentral.
GACGAACGCUGGCGGCGUGCUUAACACAUACAAGUCGAACGGAAAGGCCCUGCUUUUGUGGGGUGCUCGAGUGGCGAACGGGUGAGUAACACGUGCGUAACCUGCCCUUGACUUUGGGAUAACUUCAGGAAACUGGGGCUAAUACCGGAUAGGAGCUCCUGCUGCAUGGUGGGGGUUGGAAAGUUUCGGCGGUUGGGGAUGGACUCGCGGCUUAUCAGCUUGUUGGUGGGGUAGUGGCUUACCAAGGCUUUGACGGGUAGCCGGCCUGAGAGGGUGACCGGCCACAUUGGGACUGAGAUACGGCCCAGACUCCUACGGGAGGCAGCAGUGGGGAAUAUUGCACAAUGGGCGGAAGCCUGAUGCAGCAACGCCGCGUGCGGGAUGACGGCCUUCGGGUUGUAAACCGCUUUCGCCUGUGACGAAGCGUGAGUGACGGUAAUGGGUAAAGAAGCACCGGCUAACUACGUG